UACGGGGGGUGCGAGCGUUGUCCGGAAUCACUGGGCGUAAAGGGCGCGUAGGUGGUUUGAUAAGGGUGUGGUGAAAGUCCGGGGCUCAACCCCGGAUCUGCCGUGCCGACUGUCAAACUCGAGGGCUGUAGAGGCAGACGGAAUUCCGGGUGUAGCGGUGGAAUGCGUAGAGAUCCGGAGGAAGACCGGUGGCGAAGGCGGUCUGCUGGGCAGUUGCUGACACUGAGGCGCGACAGCGUGGGGAGCAAACAGG
This 253-nucleotide ribosomal RNA is filed under the name uncultured bacterium. Its description in RNAcentral is "partial 16S ribosomal RNA". It matches the Rfam family "Bacterial small subunit ribosomal RNA", at positions 524 to 776 of the family's 1533-position model. The record is from RNAcentral.